RNAcentral lists this ribosomal RNA (638 nucleotides) under Escherichia coli. RNAcentral describes it as "partial 23S ribosomal RNA". It matches the Rfam family "Bacterial large subunit ribosomal RNA", at positions 762 to 1396 of the family's 2925-position model. The record is from RNAcentral. Lineage: Bacteria; Pseudomonadati; Pseudomonadota; Gammaproteobacteria; Enterobacterales; Enterobacteriaceae.
CUAACUGGAGGACCGAACCGACUAAUGUUGAAAAAUUAGCGGAUGACUUGUGGCUGGGGGUGAAAGGCCAAUCAAACCGGGAGAUAGCUGGUUCUCCCCGAAAGCUAUUUAGGUAGCGCCUCGUGAACUCAUCUCCGGGGGUAGAGCACUGUUUCGGCAAGGGGGUCAUCCCGACUUACCAACCCGAUGCAAACUGCGAAUACCGGAGAAUGUUAUCACGGGAGACACACGGCGGGUGCUAACGUCCGUCGUGAAGAGGGAAACAACCCAGACCGCCAGCUAAGGUCCCAAAGUCAUGGUUAAGUGGGAAACGAUGUGGGAAGGCCCAGACAGCCAGGAUGUUGGCUUAGAAGCAGCCAUCAUUUAAAGAAAGCGUAAUAGCUCACUGGUCGAGUCGGCCUGCGCGGAAGAUGUAACGGGGCUAAACCAUGCACCGAAGCUGCGGCAGCGACGCUUAUGCGUUGUUGGGUAGGGGAGCGUUCUGUAAGCCUGUGAAGGUGUACUGUGAGGUAUGCUGGAGGUAUCAGAAGUGCGAAUGCUGACAUAAGUAACGAUAAAGCGGGUGAAAAGCCCGCUCGCCGGAAGACCAAGGGUUCCUGUCCAACGUUAAUCGGGGCAGGGUGAGUCGACCCCUAAGG